CCUACGGGAGGCAGCAGUGGGGAAUAUUGCACAAUGGGGGAAACCCUGAUGCAGCGACGCCGCGUGAGUGAAGAAGUAAUUCGUUAUGUAAAGCUCUAUCAGCAGGGAAGAAAAUGACGGUACCUGAGUAAGAAGCCCCGGCUAACUACGUGCCAGCAGCCGCGGUAAUACGUAGGGGGCAAGCGUUAUCCGGAUUUACUGGGUGUAAAGGGAGCGUAGACGGCAGUGCAAGUCUGGAGUGAAAGGCUGGGGCUCAACCCCCGGACUGCACUGGAAACUGUACGGCUGGAGUGCAGGAGAGGUAAGUGGAAGUCCUAGUGUAGCGGUGAAAUGCGUAGAUAUUAGGAGGAACACCAGUGGCGAAGGCGGCUUACUGGACUGUAACUGACGUUGAGGCUCGAAAGCGUGGGGAGCAAACAGGAUUAGAUACCCUAGUAGUC
Molecule: ribosomal RNA, 440 nt
Filed under: uncultured bacterium
Lineage: Bacteria
Description: partial 16S ribosomal RNA
Rfam family: Bacterial small subunit ribosomal RNA
Source: RNAcentral